RNAcentral lists this ribosomal RNA (631 nucleotides) under uncultured bacterium. RNAcentral's name for it is "bacterial SSU rRNA". It matches the Rfam family "Bacterial small subunit ribosomal RNA", at positions 293 to 917 of the family's 1533-position model. The record is from RNAcentral.
UGAGAGGGUGAUCGGCCACACUGGAACUGAGACACGGUCCAGACUCCUACGGGAGGCAGCAGUAGGGAAUCUUCCGCAAUGGGCGAAAGCCUGACGGAGCAACGCCGCGUGAGUGAUGAAGGUCUUCGGAUCGUAAAACUCUGUUAUUAGGGAAGAACAUAUGUGUAAGUAACUGUGCACAUCUUGACGGUACCUAAUCAGAAAGCCACGGCUAACUACGUGCCAGCAGCCGCGGUAAUACGUAGGUGGCAAGCGUUAUCCGGAAUUAUUGGGCGUAAAGCGCGCGUAGGCGGUUUUUUAAGUCUGAUGUGAAAGCCCACGGCUCAACCGUGGAGGGUCAUUGGAAACUGGAAAACUUGAGUGCAGAAGAGGAAAGUGGAAUUCCAUGUGUAGCGGUGAAAUGCGCAGAGAUAUGGAGGAACACCAGUGGCGAAGGCGACUUUCUGGUCUGUAACUGACGCUGAUGUGCGAAAGCGUGGGGAUCAAACAGGAUUAGAUACCCUGGUAGUCCACGCCGUAAACGAUGAGUGCUAAGUGUUAGGGGGUUUCCGCCCCUUAGUGCUGCAGCUAACGCAUUAAGCACUCCGCCUGGGGAGUACGACCGCAAGGUGAAACUAAAGGAAUUGACGGC